AACGAACGCUGGCGGCAGGCUUAACACAUGCAAGUCGAACGCAUCCUUCGGGGUGAGUGGCAGACGGGUGAGUAACGCGUGGGAACGUGCCCUUCAGUUCGGGAUAACCCAGGGAAACUUGGGCUAAUACCGGAUACGUGCGAGAGCAGAAAGAUUUAUCGCUGAAGGAUCGGCCCGCGUAAGAUUAGCUAGUUGGUGAGGUAACGGCUCACCAAGGCGAUGAUCUUUAACUGGUCUGAGAGGAUGAUCAGUCACACUGGAACUGAGACACGGUCCAGACUCCUACGGGAGGCAGCAGUAGGGAAUAUUGGACAAUGGGGGCAACCCUGAUCCAGCGACGCCGCGUGAGCGAUGAAGGCCUUCGGGUCGUAAAGCUCUGUUGUAAGGGAAAAAGUUCUGAUUGUACCUUACGGGAAAGGAUCGGCUAACUUCGUGCCAGCCGCCGCCGUAA
Molecule: ribosomal RNA, 451 nt
Filed under: uncultured bacterium
Lineage: Bacteria
Description: partial 16S ribosomal RNA
Rfam family: Bacterial small subunit ribosomal RNA
Source: RNAcentral